RNAcentral lists this ribosomal RNA (253 nucleotides) under uncultured bacterium. RNAcentral's name for it is "partial 16S ribosomal RNA". It matches the Rfam family "Bacterial small subunit ribosomal RNA", at positions 524 to 776 of the family's 1533-position model. The record is from RNAcentral.
UACGUAGGGGGCAAGCGUUGUCCGGAUUUAUUGGGCGUAAAGAGCGUGUAGGCGGCUAGAUAGGUCCGUUGUGAAAACUCGAGGCUCAACCUCGAGACGCCGGUGGAAACCAUCUAGCUAGAGUCCGGAAGAGGAGAGUGGAAUUCCUGGUGUAGCGGUGAAAUGCGCAGAUAUCAGGAAGAACACCAAUUGCGAAGGCAGCUCGCUGGGACGUUACUGACGCUGAGACGCGAAAGCGUGGGGAGCAAACAGG